RNA transcript from Chlorocebus sabaeus (green monkey), 3817 nucleotides. It is a transcript of the gene named cyclin dependent kinase 15, with no coding region annotated. The record is from RefSeq and is a predicted model, not a curated record. NCBI's taxonomy places the organism in Eukaryota, Metazoa, Chordata, Mammalia, Primates, Cercopithecidae.
AUGCAAGCAAUCCCUGUCUGAUGUGGAGUUUCUCGCACUGAUAAGGAAAAACUGCUGAAGUUGUGAGGCUGCUCCAGGCAGAGUCAUCAUGUGAGUCAUAUGAAAGCUCCACACUGCUGACCUCUGGCAAAAAGGGAGAGAACAAGGAUAGGAGAGGCAGUGGGGGAAAGGUUCAAGUGCGGGUUUUCUCCUUGAACCUAGAAGAUUAUGGGUCAAGAGCUGUGUGCAAAGACUGUACAGCCUGGAUGCAGCUGCUAUCGUUGUUCAGAGGGAGGCGAGGCACACAGCUGUCGGAGGAGUCAGCCUGAGACCAUGGAGGCUGCGUUCAAGCUAACAGACCUAAAAGAAGCAUCAUGUUCCAUGACUUCAUUUCACCCCAGGGGACGUCAGGAUGUCCGUGCCCAGAAGUUCAAGAGUAAAAGGCCACGGAGUAACAGUGAUUCUUUUCAGGAAGAGGAUCUGAGGCAGAGUUUUCAGUGGCAGAGGAAGAGCCUCCCUUUUGGAGCAGCCUCAUCUUACUUGAACUUGGAGAAGCUGGGUGAAGGCUCUUAUGCUACAGUUUACAAGGGGAUUAGCAGAAUAAAUGGACAACUAGUGGCUUUAAAAGUCAUCAGCAUGAAUGCAGAAGAAGGAGUCCCAUUUACAGCUAUCCGAGAAGCUUCUCUCCUGAAGGGUUUGAAACAUGCCAAUAUUGUGCUUCUGCAUGACAUAAUCCACACCAAAGAGACACUGACAUUCGUUUUUGAAUACAUGCACACAGACCUGGCCCAGUAUAUGUCUCAGCAUCCAGGAGGGCUUCAUCCUCACAAUGUCAGACUUUUCAUGUUUCAACUUUUGCGGGGCCUGGCGUACAUCCACCACCAACACGUUCUUCACAGGGACCUGAAACCUCAGAACUUACUCAUCAGUCACCUGGGAGAGCUCAAACUGGCUGAUUUUGGUCUUGCUCGGGCCAAGUCCAUUCCCAGCCAGACAUACUCUUCAGAAGUCGUGACCCUCUGGUACCGGCCCCCUGAUGCUUUGCUGGGAGCCACUGAAUAUUCAUCUGAGCUGGACAUAUGGGGUGCAGGCUGCAUCUUUAUUGAAAUGUUCCAGGGUCAACCUUUGUUUCCUGGGGUUUCCAACAUCCUUGAACAGCUGGAGAAAAUCUGGGAGGUGCUGGGAGUUCCUACAGAGGAUACUUGGCCGGGAGUCUCCAAGCUACCUAACUACAAUCCAGAAUGGUUCCCGCUGCCUACGCCUCGAAGCCUUCACGUUGUCUGGAACAGAAGGGAGGCUGCUGGAGAAACUCUAUUUUUCUCCCCCACUUUUCCAGGCUGGGCAGGGUUCCUGAAGCUGAAGACCUGGCCUCCCAGAUGCUGAAAGGCUUUCCCAGAGACCGCGUCUCCGCCCAGGAAGCACUCGUUCACGAUUAUUUCAGUGCCCUGCCAUCUCAGCUGUACCAGCUUCCCGAUGAGGAGUCUUUGUUUACAGUUUCAGGAGUGAGGCUCAAGCCAGAAAUGUGUGACCUUUUGGCCUCCUACCAGAAAGGUCACCACCCAGCCCAGUUUAGCAAACGCUGAUGAAAAGAAAGGGCGAGAUCACCAAGGUUCUUCCAGGGCUGUAUUUCUGCAGUUUUGAUUUUCAUUUGCUUCAGCCUACUAAGAAGUUUCAAAUAUAACUCCACACUGAACAAGGGGUUUUAUGCCCUCGCCUAUGACCUGGAAUAGUUUAAAUAUGAUGUUCGAGGCAACACUACAUAAUACUGGAAGAAAACGCAAUGGAAGGUUAUUGCUAUUGUCAUUUGCCUAGAAUUUAAGUGAUUGAUUUUUAAAAAUUAGACAUAAACUAAGAUAGUCUGAGAAGAGGACUUCUGAAUAAUUUCAUUCAUUUUGCCAUUUGAUAAGAGAUUCCUGGGCUAGAAGGUUGAUUUCCCAAAAAGACAGAUAAGAGACUGAUAAUAUGACAAGAAUCUGGAGACAGAGCUGGUGCUUACAGAGACCUGCCACUCCUGUGUUCGCUUACAGUGUCUCCCAACAAAAGGAUUUCUGUGGCAAAGAGAAAACUAGUCUAAAGUUUAGAAAAGUCUCCAGGGAAGACGGUUUCUUGGAAAACAUUGUCAACAACAGGACUUCCUGAGGACUAUUUAUUAUUAUUUCAUAGGGGGCACUUCCUCACUCGCUAAAGUGGAUUAUCAGAACAUACUACCACCCAACCCAUAUUUUAGGAGUUUGGAUUUGGCUGCUGAUUAGAAUUGAAUUUCAGGCUAUCUCCUCCUACUGAAUCUUAAUUGUCUGUGAUGAUGGCAACAGUGAUGGGGAAUCUAAGCACUGGUUUGAUGGUGGAGAUAUUGAAUAAAUAGAUGGGAGCAGAGUUCCAAAGAUAUAAUGUAAGCCCUGUUGCACCACCACCACCACCACCACCACACACACACACACACACACACACACACACCCCUCAAGUAAAAUGAGAGAUCUGUCUUAGCUAACAUGUGUGCCAUUUUAUACAAUGACUCCUUCUAAAAGAAGCCAGGGAAACUCAAAUCACUUCUGUCUAUGGAUCAUCUCAGGAAAUGUAGUAGCCUAGAAACCAGAGACCUCUGUAUAUUCUUUGGAAGAACGAAGAUGAACUAAUUAAGAGAGAAUUAAAAAAUAGUAACUAUCCCCCAAUGUCUGAGAUGGGAAAAGGAAAAAGACACAUGGGUAGCCCAAAUCAACCUGCCUGAGUAAGUAUUUGAUUUUAGUAAGGCAUUUGACAAAGCCUGUCCAACUAUACCGGAAAGAUGAAACAGUGUGGGUUGGGUGAUGGAGCAGAUAUAUGUACCCAAAUCAUGGUAGUUAUUUAACCCAGAGAAAGGCCAGCCAUGGUGUGCUACAACGUUCAGUCUUGAGUCCUAUUCUGGUCAAAUAUUUUUAUUAAUUAGUUGAAUAAAUCAGAGUACUUGGACAAUUUAUUCAUACAACUGCUUAGAGUAAGUACUAUUAUUAUUGAUUUAUGACUUCCAUUUCACAAAAGGCGAGACUGAGGCUCAGUGAAGUUAAAUAACUCCUUCAUAGUAGCAUGCCAGACUUAAGAUGCAAACCUCAGACCUGGCUCUCCAACGUUCCUGAUACCUAUCAAAUUUGGAGAAUAUAUAACUCUUGCAGAGGCAGCUGCUAUUUAGUAUUGGAUCAUGAUUCAAAAGACACCUUGCUAGAAGCCAAUGAACGGCAGGCCAAAGCAACACUUAUUUCCAUCAAAUUUCAUCUGACUUAAAUUCUUACACUUUGGGCUACAACUUUAAAAAGGCUGUGACUUAGUGGAAAUUGACACUUUUAAGUACAAUAUGAAUUAAUAGUAUAAUUUUGCUGUCCCCCAAAGAUAAUGCUAGUACCAAUUGAAAGCUCAGGGAUGCUACCGUUGACGCAUCAGCAAGAGUUCUUGAGCAGCUUCACCUGUCCAUCAGUACACUGAGUUCCCACAACAGGAGUGGGAUUCCUCUGCCUCCCUGAAGAUAUGAGAGCUGUAGGAGGGAUUCCCAUGUUGGAGGUUAGAACAGCUGACCUCCAGUGUCCCAUCUAAUUCCAAGAUUCUCCAAUAAUGAGUUUGGAACAGCUGUGGACAGACUAUACUUGGAAUUAUGGUUAGAUACUAUUGCUGCAGGAAUGGAUAGACAAAUUAGGUUUUUUAAAAAUUGAUAUUAUUACGUGGAAGUUGACAGAAUUAUCCUCUUUAUAAUGGAAGAUACAUUAUGCUUAUGCAUAUGCAUAUACAUUAUGCAUAUGAUUAUGCUUGUGCUUCCUUCUUUAAUGGAUUUACCUAUUCAAAAGCUUAAUAAAAAGUAUAAGACUCUAAAACA